RNAcentral lists this ribosomal RNA (372 nucleotides) under uncultured organism. RNAcentral's name for it is "bacterial SSU rRNA". It matches the Rfam family "Bacterial small subunit ribosomal RNA", at positions 526 to 896 of the family's 1533-position model. The record is from RNAcentral.
CGGAGGUGGCAAGCGUUGUUCGGAAUCACUGGGCGUAAAGGGCGCGUAGGCGGGGUCGGAAGUCGGGUGUGAAAGCCCCGGGCUCAACCCGGGAACGGCGCUCGAGACUCCGGCUCUUGAGUCCCGGAGAGGCGGGUGGAAUUCCUGUGUAGCGGUGAAAUGUGUAGAGAUCAGGAGGAACACCGGUGGCGUAGGCGGCCCGCUGGACGGAGACUGACGCUGAGGCGCGAAAGCGUGGGGAGCAAACGGGAUUAGAUACCCCGGUAGUCCACGCGGUAAACGAUGGGGGCUAGGUGUGGGGGGGUAUCGACCCCCUCCGUGCCGAAGCUAACGCAUUAAGCCCCCCGCCUGGGGAGUACGGCCGCAAGGUUG